This is a long non-coding RNA of Eurytemora carolleeae, 242 nucleotides long. RefSeq lists it as uncharacterized. The transcript is spliced from 2 exons. Lineage: Eukaryota; Metazoa; Arthropoda; Copepoda; Calanoida; Temoridae. The record is from RefSeq and is a predicted model, not a curated record.
AUUUGAUUCCAGGGCACAACACUUUUCACAGAUCUUGCUGGUGGUGGUAGUACCAGUGAUGAGGAGGAGGAGGAUGAAAAUGAGGAGAAUAAUAACAUCGAAACGGAUGAAAGUAAAACAGAAGAAGAGGAAGAAGAAGAGGAAAGUGAAGAAAAUGGCAAAGAUAAGAUGUGAAAAUAAGACGAGGAGUAAAAAUUUGUUGUGUAAAUUUCAUUCAUUAUAAUAAAAUACUUUGAAGACUA